Mya arenaria is the source of this 606-nucleotide long non-coding RNA. RefSeq lists it as uncharacterized. The record is from RefSeq and is a predicted model, not a curated record. NCBI's taxonomy places the organism in Eukaryota, Metazoa, Mollusca, Bivalvia, Myida, Myidae. The transcript has 4 exons.
AAUAUCAUUGUUACAUCGUCAACGGUACCUGAAGUGGCCAGCCAUCCAACUGGAGAGAUGCCCCUUGCAGUGGAGUUGGCGAAGAAGCGCAAUGCAACUACAGUGGCAGUCAGCUGUGUGUCCCACCAUCCAGAUUUGGAAUCGAUGCCCCAUGCAUUAAGCUUUGGAUGACAUAUCACGUAUGAUACUUGGACAGGAGCAGUGUCAAGGAAACCGGAAGUGUCCCACCUUGCAACUCGGAAGUGAUGCCUCUUGCAACCUGUACGAAGCCCAGCGGCAUUUGCAAUGCCCGAAGGCCGCGUAUACUUGUCUUCCAUUAAGAACUUUUGGCCCUGUGUGACAACUUAGUGAUGACACAAUGGGUAACACCUCACUGAUGACACAAUCGCUUGAUUGCUAAACUGGAUCCGGCCUUUUCACGGGAAACACAAUUAAAAAUGAAAUAAUUAAUACAUUGACGCUCUAUUUUUGGGCAUUGUGUUGAUCGAUAAGACUUUUAGAUUUAUGUGACAAUCUUAUAAUGUUGUGACAUUAUAAUAGUUAUGUUACAUUCUUAUUCUGAAGUGACUUUCAUAUGUUCAUUUGACUUUCUCAUGGUAUGUGAAU